GUAAUGUAUUUAAUUAUUUUCCUUUGCGGAGGUGAUACCAGGACGAAUUAAACAGCCUCGACACAGCUGAAGGCGCAAGAAAAUCGUACGAGACAGUUUGGGAUGUUAAAAACACCUGAAAACUUUUUUUUCACUACCCUUCAUACUACAGCGGUCGAAAAACCACAGCAACGUCGACACGCCUGGAAGCAUAGCUGUAUUUGUUUAAGACAACGGCUGUCGAAGAACCACAGCAACGUCGGCAGAUCUGGAAGCAUAGCUGUAUUUGUUUAACUCACAACGACAACGGGUAAGUCAUUGAGCCCUUGUGUUUUUAUUUAUCCACGUUCUAAAAUUGCUAUGCUUUCGUUGUUUCUCGAUUGCUCUGUACAUUUCUUUGUUUCUAUUCCACGUAAAGUUACUUUGUAAUAACGAAACGAUAUAUUGAAAUGCGCUAUUUAAAUCCAUUUGAUUUAAAUUGUUUCACGUUUUUCUCUCUGCACGGUUUAACCGGGCUGGAAACGGAAAAUGGGUAGAUCUCGAAGAAUAUUUGGUUUCAGACCUGGCUUCGUGCGCCUUUCCACCUGGUCACACACAGUAAUGAAAUGGUAGUCGGACGGCCUUCGGGGGCGCCGUCGAUGUGAUCGGUCACAGGAAGAUGCGGCCGUCUGGCCUCAAAGGCUGUUGCUCAUACUUACCUGGCAGGGGAGAUACCAUGAUCAUGAAGGUGGUUCACCCAGGGCGAGGCUCAGCCAUUGCACUCCGGUUGUGCUGACCCUUUGCGAAUUCCCCAAAUGUGGGAAUCUCGACUGCAAAAUUUCUGAUAGUGGGGGACUGCGUUCGCGCUCUCCCCUGGC
This is a non-coding RNA of Misgurnus anguillicaudatus (oriental weatherfish), 836 nucleotides long. The record is from RefSeq and is a predicted model, not a curated record. NCBI's taxonomy places the organism in Eukaryota, Metazoa, Chordata, Actinopteri, Cypriniformes, Cobitidae.